GAAGAGCUGGAAAGCAGGAUUAAAGUUUGUGAGGACCAGAUAACAGCCAAAGAGAAGGCUCUGCAGGAUCUACUAGGUCAAACAUUGUCCAUCGAAAACCCAUUGGAAAGCAUCUCUGGUCUAUUGACGGCAGCAGAGUCUCACAGACAGUCAUCGGCUCAGACUGAGGA
This is a long non-coding RNA of Oncorhynchus masou masou (cherry salmon), 170 nucleotides long. RefSeq lists it as uncharacterized. The transcript is spliced from 3 exons. Lineage: Eukaryota; Metazoa; Chordata; Actinopteri; Salmoniformes; Salmonidae. The record is from RefSeq and is a predicted model, not a curated record.